This 1072-nucleotide ribosomal RNA is filed under the name Lactiplantibacillus plantarum. RNAcentral describes it as "bacterial SSU rRNA". It matches the Rfam family "Bacterial small subunit ribosomal RNA", at positions 15 to 1059 of the family's 1533-position model. The record is from RNAcentral. Lineage: Bacteria; Bacillati; Bacillota; Bacilli; Lactobacillales; Lactobacillaceae.
GUACCCUGCUAGAGACGCUGGCGGCGUGCCUAAUACAUGCAAGUCGAACGAACUCUGGUAUUGAUUGGUGCUUGCAUCAUGAUUUACAUUUGAGUGAGUGGCGAACUGGUGAGUAACACGUGGGAAACCUGCCCAGAAGCGGGGGAUAACACCUGGAAACAGAUGCUAAUACCGCAUAACAACUUGGACCGCAUGGUCCAAGUUUGAAAGAUGGCUUCGGCUAUCACUUUUGGAUGGUCCCGCGGCGUAUUAGCUAGAUGGUGGGGUAACGGCUCACCAUGGCAAUGAUACGUAGCCGACCUGAGAGGGUAAUCGGCCACAUUGGGACUGAGACACGGCCCAAACUCCUACGGGAGGCAGCAGUAGGGAAUCUUCCACAAUGGACGAAAGUCUGAUGGAGCAACGCCGCGUGAGUGAAGAAGGGUUUCGGCUCGUAAAACUCUGUUGUUAAAGAAGAACAUAUCUGAGAGUAACUGUUCAGGUAUUGACGGUAUUUAACCAGAAAGCCACGGCUAACUACGUGCCAGCAGCCGCGGUAAUACGUAGGUGGCAAGCGUUGUCCGGAUUUAUUGGGCGUAAAGCGAGCGCAGGCGGUUUUUUAAGUCUGAUGUGAAAGCCUUCGGCUCAACCGAAGAAGUGCAUCGGAAACUGGGAAACUUGAGUGCAGAAGAGGACAGUGGAACUCCAUGUGUAGCGGUGAAAUGCGUAGAUAUAUGGAAGAACACCAGUGGCGAAGGCGGCUGUCUGGUCUGUAACUGACGCUGAGGCUCGAAAGUAUGGGUAGCAAACAGGAUUAGAUACCCUGGUAGUCCAUACCGUAAACGAUGAAUGCUAAGUGUUGGAGGGUUUCCGCCCUUCAGUGCUGCAGCUAACGCAUUAAGCAUUCCCGCCUGGGGAGUACGGCCGCAAGGCUGAAACUCAAAGGAAUUGACGGGGGCCCGCACAGCGGUGGAGCAUGUGGUUUAAUUCGAAGCUAACGCGAAGAACCUUACAGGUCUUGACAUACUAUGCAAUCUAAGAGAUAGACGUUCCCUCGGGACAUGAUUACAGGUGGUGCAUGGUUGUCGUCAGC